This 533-nucleotide ribosomal RNA is filed under the name uncultured bacterium. Its description in RNAcentral is "bacterial SSU rRNA". It matches the Rfam family "Bacterial small subunit ribosomal RNA", at positions 774 to 1304 of the family's 1533-position model. The record is from RNAcentral.
AGGCAAUAGAUACCCGGGUAGUCCACGCCGUAAACGAUGAGCACUAGUUAUUGGAGGUAUUGACUCCUUCAGUGACGCAGCUAACGCAUUAAGUGCUCCGCCUGGGGAGUACGGUCGCAAGACUAAAACUCAAACAAAUUGACGGGGGCCCGCACAAGCGGUGGAUUAUGUGGUUUAAUUCGAAGCAACGCGCAGAACCUUACCUAGGCUUGAACUCCUACGAACCUCUUGUAAUGGAGAGGGUGUCCGCAAGGAAAUGUAGUGAGAGGUGCUGCAUGGCUGUCGUCAGCUCGUGUUGUGAAAUGUUGGGUUAAGUCUCGCAACGAGCGCAACCCCUAUCGUCUGUUGCCAGCAUUAAGUUGGGCACUCUGACGAGACUGCCUGGGUUAACCAGGAGGAAGGUGGGGAUGACGUCAAGUCCUCAUGGCCCUUAUGUCUAGGGCUACACACGUAAUACAAUGGCGCGUACAAAGGGAAGCGAACUCGCAAGGGGGAGCAAAUCUCAAAAAGCGCGCCUCAGUUCGGAUUGAAGU